RNAcentral lists this ribosomal RNA (497 nucleotides) under uncultured bacterium. Its description in RNAcentral is "partial 16S ribosomal RNA". It matches the Rfam family "Bacterial small subunit ribosomal RNA", at positions 28 to 507 of the family's 1533-position model. The record is from RNAcentral.
GAUGAACGCUGACGGCGUGCCUAAUACAUGCAAGUCGAGCGAACGGACGAGAAGCUUGCUUCUCUGAUGUUAGCGGCGGACGGGUGAGUAACACGUGGAUAACCUACCUAUAAGACUUGGAUAACUUCGGGAAACCGGAGCUAAUACCGGAUAAUAUUUUGAACCGCUUGGAUCAAAAGUGAAAGACGGUCUUGCUGUCACUUAUAGAUGGAUCCGCGCUGCAUUAUCUAGUUGGUAAGGUAACGGCCUACCAAGGCAACGAUGCAUAGCCGACCUGAGAGGGUGAUCGGCCACACUGGAACUGAGACACGGUCCAGACUCCUACGGGAGGCAGCAGUAGGGAAUCUUCCGCAAUGGGCGAAAGCCUGACGGAGCAACGCCGCGUGAGUGAUGAAGGUCUUCGGAUCGUAAAACUCUGUUAUUAGGGAAGAACAUAUGUGUAAGUAACUGUGCACAUCUUGACGGUACCUAAUCAGAAAGCCACGGCUAACUACGUG